This 992-nucleotide long non-coding RNA is filed under the name Citrus x clementina. RNAcentral's name for it is "Citrus clementina (C. clementina) long non-coding RNA (CCLE_LNC004497)". Lineage: Eukaryota; Viridiplantae; Streptophyta; Magnoliopsida; Sapindales; Rutaceae. The record is from RNAcentral.
AUGGAGGAUUAUUUUAAUAGAUUUAAAAGGAACUAAUUAAAAACCUAAGUAAUUUUCUCUUCAAUUUUUAGAAUUUAUUUUCUCCAAUUGAGACUUAAGCCCCCACUAGUCAUGAGCUGGAUCUGGCCCUACAUCUAGGUUCUAGCAUGCUAUCAAUUUCUUGUUGAAGGUAUAGACAAACAUUAAUCCUUACUUUUGUGACUAUUUUGAUACAUAGAUCUAAGGCUAAGUAAUUCAAAUCUUGGUUGGUUUUGCCACAAUCCAUAGGCACAGAAAAGUUAUAAGCACUUCAUUAGAAUUAUGACGUGUCCAUAUUAUGGUUCAGCCCCUUUUUAUAUGCAUCCAAACCCUGUUUUUCAUUGAUAUAGUCACUAACAGUUGACCGUGCCCGAGAAUUGACCUAAGUUAUCAUUUUCUUUCUCGCCCAAUAUGACUCCUCAUUACAUUCUAAAUGCGUAUAAUCAAGUCAAAUUUAUCUUUGCUGGUUACCAUAAUUAUAUAUUCAAGUUAGGGCUUUCUAAUUAGCAAACUGUUAAUUUGGUCUAGAGUUGGCUAUUACAAGAAAUUGUUUAAUGGUCAAACUGUUUUUGCCCCUUGGCACUUCCCCAACUAUUUUUUUGGUUGUUCUUUUUGUCCUUUAACAGGUCAAAAAGAAGGGAAAUUUUUACCAUUAAUUUUGUUUGCUUUUCGGCUGCAUCAUUAUCAUUAGCUCAGCAUUUAGCUCCAAGAUCUACCUAUAUGAUGAGGAGUGCUAGCAACAGUCGCUUAUGCGAGCGACUGUUGCACUCGCUGCGUGUCUUAGAGUGUGAACAAAUGUGUCAUUUCAUUAAAUUUGAAAAGCAUUCAUAUUUUAUUUUUUUACACCCUCCACUUGAGCUAACAAAAUUACAACGCUACCCUGAUCUUCUUAGCAUUCACAGUUACACUGGCGACUACAACAGCUCAUCAAGACAUCCUUCGCAGUUUUUGUUUUUCAAUUUUUUUUAUUAAUU